UGUCACCCAGAGCCCCAGACUCUGGGGAGAGAGACAGUCAUUCACCAUCAGCCCCAUGGACUUGUCAAGAUUACUUUCAGGGGGCAGUGGUACAGCAGACUUCUCCACAGUGCCCUGCCAAUGAGCUUCAACCCUGAACUGAAGAGAAAACAUUUAACGGUGUGUGAAGGAGCUUUCAUUAUUGUCAUUUCCACAUAAGCCCAGAUCCUGCAGUUGACUGUGUGUGUGGGUGGGACUCUAUUAAAGUCAAUGAGGCUCCACACUGGGGAUGGGUUCUACCUGUGAGAAGUCAGUUGCAUGAUCAGGGCCCUAGUGCGACGCCUCAGGGUGCAUUCUGGAGCCUGCUUACCAAGAUAAUUUUAUGAACAUCCUUCUUGAAUUGUGGACACCAGAACUAUACACACUAUUCCAGCAAUGUUUUCAUCAGUGCCAAAUACAGAGACAAACUUCCCAAGGAGCACCAUGAAGAGCUGAAAUCCAUCAUGGAAGAUGGACAACUGCCUGCCUGCACUUCUCUAUAGGCUGCCCUGGAUAUGUCUGACACCACGGUCACUGCAAGAAUCAUGAGGAGAUCACCAUGGCUUCAGUUCUCAAGGAUCCCAGGGAAGUCCAAACAACAAUCAAGGACCUCCCAUUUGAAGGUCACCUUUGUCUACAGUGCUGAUACAUAUAAUAAUGUUUUAUGGCUCUCAUAAGCACAAGGCAUACAAACUCUAUGUCUAAGGUACUCUGAAAUUGCAUGGACUUACUGCCAACCACUGUAAAGUCAUGGCUACCACUGAACCUUGCUAGAGCCUGGAGCUGAUGCAUAAGGGCUCAAGUAUAUGACUUUCAUUAUAUGUCAUGGGUUUGUAAUUUUUUUUGCACAACCAUACUGUUAAAUAAUAAUAAUUCCUGCCACUUACUGGCACAAUUCUUGACCAGAAUCACAGUAGCUGUGAUGUUGCAGCAGAUCAGCGGUCCACUGACACAAAUUUUAGAAGUCUAAAAAGGGGAAUGAAAGGGGAGAUUAAUUUGAAAUUAGUCAUGUGCUGAAUGUCCCCCUUAUGCUUAUUUAGCUGAGGUAAUCACAAGAAAAAAAGUAACUCUUUUAAAAAAUAAAGUUUGUAUUUUUUAGAAAACUCCCAGAGUAUUAUCUUGUAUGAACUCUGAACAUUUUGUAUUUUAACAUAAAAGUAAUUAAAAAUUACACACUGUACAUAUGGAAAUACAGGUUUGAUCCUCAUAAUGAAUUAAUACAAUUUAGCUUUCUUUAAUGUGUAUGCUACAGGGCGGAUUCUAAAUUCCAGUGUAUUUUUUACAUUUAAAACAAAUGAGACUAUUUAUGAGCGUAGGGAUAUAUAUGUGUAAUACAGAAAGUAUGCAUAUUUUAUUUACUGAACACUAGCGCCUUCACACAACCUAUUUUUUGUUGACAUUUGUUUAUUUUCUCUGGGAGAAUGACAGAUCUGCAGCACAACAUAAUACCAAUCCAAAGGCCAGAGUUUCAGAGCAGACUGGAUUUCAGGUAAAUAGAAACUGAUCCCAUAGUGACAGUGAUGGCCCCACACUUCCUGCUUCAGCUUUUGAAAGACCUCCCCACCAGCUAAGUCAUUAAAUCACUUCUUGUUUCCAGACACUGACAACUUUGGAAUUUAUUUUACACUGCUACUAUUCAGACUACUUACAAGGACAGAAUGAACUGUUCUAGGCCCAGAUUCUCUGAUGCACCAAAGCUCUGGUAAAUGUAGCAGAAUUGGGGAGCCAUCCAGUAGCUGGUUAUAGCUCUCUGAUCUCUGCCCAGCCAUGUCUCUGGUACAAGUUUGAGCACCCUAGGGGCAGCUCUAAUUUACCUAAGCUGAUAUUUAUCCCUAAUUGACUGUCCACCAGCUGGAGUGCAGUGAUCUUUAGGCAUAUUUCCUAGGAUGGUGUUGCAAAAGUAACCUAUGAUGGCUCUUUGCCUGCUGGGACUUACCCACAUCAAGGGAAUCCUCAGCAAGUGAGAUAAAGGGCAGUUUUCAUCUUUUUGUCCCAAUUCUCACCCGUUUUUUUUUAAUCAAAUUAGGAAUUAUGAAAUGCUUGGAAAAGAGCACAUUAGAUUUCUUAUGAAGUGUGAUAUGGAUUUAUUGACUUUGCAGUGGCUUUCCUCCCACCCGCCUUUGAGUACUACCCUUACAUGGCUGUGAUUACGUGGACCUGGCAAAUGCCACAAUGAUCUAAGAAUGUGACACAUCCAGGAUUCCAUGCUGAGGUAAUUUUUUCCAGUUGUCCCUUCUCGUAUUCUGUCUCAAUACUUUUUCAGCCAUUGUCUAGUCUUUGAAUAUGUUUGCCUCUCACACUCAGAUGCAAAACCAUGUCAUAGGGAAAAUGCCCCAAGGAGUGCAGCGUGUGGCUUUGUUGGUGAAUAUGGGUUGGUCCACACAAAAAAACCCAGAACCCUGCUACCCUUGUAAUUUGAGUCUGUUAUUUCUGAUAAAGGGCAGUAAUGGAUGUUUACCUAUAUGGACUCUAUUUGAAAAGUUUCCCUUUUCUGCUGGUACUAUGCAACUAUUCAUUAGAAAACGAGAUUCAUAGAGGAUGUGAACGAAGUGCAUAGAAUUCAGAGAGAAAAAGGUGGAUGGCACAAAACUGUUCAAUAGGUGAACGGCCUCCACAUCAAGAGAGGACAAACAAAAA
Molecule: non-coding RNA, 2655 nt
Organism: Chrysemys picta bellii (western painted turtle)
Lineage: Eukaryota; Metazoa; Chordata; Testudines; Emydidae
Source: RefSeq, a predicted model, not a curated record